GUCGGGAAAGCUCAUCUGGGAAAGCAAAGGACUGAAAAUC
This 40-nucleotide transfer RNA is filed under the name Acalypha decaryana. RNAcentral's name for it is "partial tRNA-Phe". Lineage: Eukaryota; Viridiplantae; Streptophyta; Magnoliopsida; Malpighiales; Euphorbiaceae. The record is from RNAcentral.